UGGGGAAUUUUGGACAAUGGGCGAAAGCCUGAUCCAGCAAUGCCGCGUGUGUGAAGAAGGCCUUCGGGUUGUAAAGCACUUUUGUCCGGAAAGAAAUCCUUGGCUCUAAUACAGUCGGGGGAUGACGGUACCGGAAGAAUAAGCACCGGCUAACUACGUGCCAGCAGCCGCGGUAAUACGUAGGGUGCAAGCGUUAAUCGGAAUUACUGGGCGUAAAGCGUGCGCAGGCGGUUUGCUAAGACCGAUGUGAAAUCCCCGGGCUCAACCUGGGAACUGCAUUGGUGACUGGCAGGCUAGAGUAUGGCAGAGGGGGGUAGAAUUCCACGUGUAGCAGUGAAAUGCGUAGAGAUGUGGAGGAAUACCGAUGGCGAAGGCAGCCCCCUGGGCCAAUACUGAUGCUCAUGCACGAAAGCGUGGGGAGCAAACAGGAUUAGAUACCCUGGUAGUCCACGCCCUAAACGAUGUCAACUAGUUGUUGGGGAUUCAUUUCCUUAGUAACGUAGCUAACGCGUGAAGUUGACCGCCUGGGGGAGUACGGUCGCAAGAUUAAAACUUAAAUGAAUUGACGGGGUCAUAGCUGUUU
RNAcentral lists this ribosomal RNA (583 nucleotides) under uncultured bacterium. Its description in RNAcentral is "partial 16S ribosomal RNA". It matches the Rfam family "Bacterial small subunit ribosomal RNA", at positions 355 to 935 of the family's 1533-position model. The record is from RNAcentral.